CCUUAACCUGCUAAAUAGUUGAACUCACUCAGGUGGGUAACAACUUCUUAGAGGGACUAUAGACGUUUAGUCUAUGGAAGUUUGAGGCAAUAACAGGUCUGUGAUGCCCUUAGAUGUUCUGGGCCGCACGCGCGCUACACUGAUAACAGCAACAAGUAAUUCACCUUGGCCGGAAGGUCUGGGUAAUCUUUUGAAAUGUUAUCGUGCUGGGGAUAGUCCUUUGCAAUUAUUGGACUUUAACGAGGAAUUCCUAGUAAGCGUAAGUCAUCAGCUUGCGUUGAUUACGUCCCUGCCCUUUGUACACACCGCCCGUCGCUAGUACCGAUUGAAUGGCUUAGUGAGACCUCCGGAUUGGCGUUUCUUUUGUGGCAACACAAUCGAUCUGCUGAGAAGUUGGUCAAACUUGGUCAUUUAGAGGAACUAAAAGUCG
RNAcentral lists this ribosomal RNA (430 nucleotides) under Chytridiomycota sp. RNAcentral describes it as "SSU rRNA". It matches the Rfam family "Eukaryotic small subunit ribosomal RNA", at positions 1341 to 1791 of the family's 1831-position model. Lineage: Eukaryota; Fungi; Chytridiomycota. The record is from RNAcentral.